Long non-coding RNA from Acinonyx jubatus (cheetah), 23472 nucleotides. RefSeq lists it as uncharacterized. The record is from RefSeq and is a predicted model, not a curated record. The transcript is spliced from 2 exons. Lineage: Eukaryota; Metazoa; Chordata; Mammalia; Carnivora; Felidae.
GGGCUGGGGGCCGGGUCCUGCCGCCAGCUUGGUGAGUUUGUGUGUGGAAAGCUUUUGGCUGCAAAGAGUAUAUUUAGACCCUGAGACGGUGGAUUUGGAAUGCGAGCGGGUUAUGUAACAGGGUUAAUCAGAAACACUGGAGAAAAUCCCCUUCAUGUGUUUCUGAGUUUUUUUUUUUUUUAAAGCGGGGGGGGGGGGCGGAACAUAGUAUAUACGAAGCCACACUAAUUUCUGGUUUGUGCUGCCACCCCCUUCUGUGUUAACCUCCCCCCUUCCGUGUGUUAUUAGCAUCUUCAGGUGUCAUUCUUGCCAGAAGGUGUUCUUGCAAGAGACCAGGGUGACAGGCUGCAGAACUAACAAAUCUGUAACUUGCUGUUCUUGCAAAUUAUAUAACGCUGGGCAUUCAGUACCACCAGACCCCAGGCAUAGCAAAAAGGGGAGAGGGAAAAAGUAGGGGUGGGAUGCAUCUUGCACAGCUGACCUGUUGACCUUUAUCCCCUUGCCCCCUAGAGGAUCACCCCUUCCCCUCACUCUUCUUUGAACCAUCCCCUAGUCCAUCCCUCCCAGGAUUUACUAGGGGGAGGGAGAAGAGGUAAGGCCCAAACACUCAACUCACAUCCUGCACGCAGGCACUAGGUUAUAUAACAGUCUGAAUGGAAAAAGGAAGGUCAGAGAUGGAGGCAUCCUUUAGCUAACACAGCAGUAGUAAUAGCUUCCAGAAAUUAUAUGCAUUUGCAGACUUUAACCUCAGAUGUAGUGUCUGCUCCUCAGGGAUACCAGUCUUUGUGUGUGUGACCUAGGGAGAAAAAGAGAGAAUGUGUAAGUAUGCCUGGUAGAGGAGAGUGAUUUGAAAAUGGGAAAUGUUUGGGUUUUCAGAUGAUGUAAUGGAGUUGGCAGAAUAUGCAAGCCGGCUCCCAGAGUGUAAGCAGCAAGAAAAUUGGAGCUGGCAUCCAGUAUUAAUGUUGCAUAAAUUACAAUAUCGGAGAGAAAUUAACCUAUACACUAGGUGAUUACGCCUUUUUAAUACUUAAAACAUAAAGGCACACAACUCAAAAGGAAAAGCAAACAUCAUCACCUUAUAAUUAGCAUUUUCAACCUCAGGGAGGAUUGAAUGGAGUUCUUGGCAUUGGGUGAAGUGGGAAGCUUUUGGAUUUGGGAGAUGCUUUCCAGAGAGGUAGCAGGGUUAGCUUCCAGCCAGUCGAUAUUGUGCAGUCCACAGAAACUGUGGUCUGGAUUCGCACGACAUUGAGGUGACCUCAUGAGACAUGACUUAAGUGCACUUGAAGCUGUUGCUGAAUGCCACGCUCCUGGGAAUCCCCGUGUGAAUGGACUGCGUAUCCUUAAGCGCCUGAGCUGCCCAAAUCGGAUGCGUGACUUUGUAAUCUGAAAUUCGGACCUCCCCCAGUCCUUAAAACUAGCAGAGAUCCUUAGCACUUGUACUGAAACUGUCCUGUUUUCUAGGUGGUAUUAAUGAUGGCUGGUGUCAUUCAGUACCAUCUUCACAGCACAAUGACAGGGAAAAAAGAAAGGCAAGAGACAACAGGGGAAGUAAGAAUGAGGCGGAAAAAAACACAGCGAAUCUUUAAUUUAACAAGGCUUUCAGAGACUUCAGGGAGCCAUAAGCAUUGUGACAUAACUGUUGUUAAAAACCCUUUUCCAGAAUCUCAUUAUUAUAUGCAUGCCAGAAGCUUACAUAUUGUACUUCCCUAAAGUUAUCCUCCCAGGGCUGUGUGGCACGCGGUUGGUUUGGAACACUCGUGCAGUAGGUUGAAGGCUUUUAGGGCAGGCCAACCUGAGGGAAAAAUCGAAACCAGAAGAUGGGAUUAACACUGAAAAGCUCAGUUGGGUUGAGAUUGAACCCCCUGGAAACUCAGUUUAGAUUGACGUAAAAUCAGUUAACAAGGCCUGUAGUUCAUUUGUAGCCCUGAGGACUUCUAGAACCACAUAACCCAAGUGCUUCACCUCCACACCCCGCUUUCAGUCUUGGCUGAUUCACUUUCUGGGAGGUGCCCUUCUUGCCUGGCAAUUUAGAGCCCUAUCUGGAGAUUGAUUCGCAGAUCAGCUUUUCUAACAUGGUCCUGGCUCUCCACCGUGAGCAAAUAAAUGAUGCCCCAUAGUUUGAAAGAGCUACUGGCUGGGAUAAAAUCCUUUGCUGGAGGGAUGGGAUAAUUAUUUUUUUAAACUAAGGGACUUUAAUUUUCCGGUAAAUUGCUCAUAAAAAACAUUUAUAAUUAGAGCCUUAAAAAAUGCAAUGGAAUAAUUUUAGAAAAUGCAUUUGGUGAUAGUUGUGAUAACCUUUUUUGUUGUUCCCCCCUUAUUUCUUAAAAAGAAUUGUAUUAUUAAUCCAAAAGUCAGUUCCUGAAUGGCUAAAAACUUUUGUAGCAGACUCAUUUUAUGUUAGUCACCUUUUGGAAUUUUCCAGAACCUACCGGCAUGAUGAGAAGCCUUGGCUGUAGAACAUGUCUCCCUUUCCAAAGCUGAAAUAUGGAGCCUGCAUGGAAGCUCCCUAACUAUGGGACCCUUCAGCUGGUGUUUUCAAGGCAGCAGAGGUGACAGGUGGUACACGCCUAGUUCCACACCAGGUUCCUAAGUGGGAUGUAGGGAGGUGUGAGAAUAUUCAUUGUUGUAGUUGUACCUCCAGAUGAAAUGUUCUGAGGAUUUUUCGUGAUGGCUGAAUUUCUUUUGAAAGUGAACUGACCCCUGUCCAGAGCUAACUUUUGGAAUGCGAGUGAGACAAACCCAUGGGUUCUGAUCCUGGGCCACACUUUUGUCACGUCUGACUUAAGAUGCGCGUUAUUUCUCUACAUUCUCCCAUUUUUGCCUCCAGGAUGUUGUGGUGUGAUGUGUGAAGUGCAGACUGGGUUGGAUGUCUCUGAAAAUUCUUAAGAGUGUGCUCUUCUCUGUGCCCUCAUCUUCUUAGUCUACUUGAUGGAUUGUGCUUCUUAGGUUAUAUUUGUACUUAACGUGUCUAGAGAAGCGAAAUACAUAACUACAUUUCACGUGUCUGGGAAGAAAUAAUGAUGUGACUGCCCUGUGUGUGCAAAAGUCUAUGUUUUCUAGAAAAUCCAGCUCUCUCCAUGUGACAUAACGUUCUGCUCACCCACUUUGUCUUCCGUGAGCCAUUGUUCAGGAACUCUGAGGUAGACAUCGUCUGCUCCCUCAAAGAGAUUCCUGACCAGUCAUCCCAGAUUAGUGAUAGAUUCUUCUAGAGCGACAAGAGUCUGCUUUGAAAGGCCUUCUGGUUCCAGAGUGAACAUUAACUUAGAAUGUGGAAUACCAUAGUUUGAAUAUGAAGACUAUCUGAAUAUGAAGACUGUCAUCCUUGUUGAGAACUUCUACGAACGGUCUCUCUGUCCCUCCCUCCCUCCCCGCUCUGUUCUCCCUUCUGUCAUUUUUAAAGUAGUGUUCUGGCUUUUUGGGGUGUGGGGGGAUUAUGUGUGUGUGUGUGUGUGUGUGUGUGUGUGUGUGUGUGUGCGCGAGAUUCAUAAUGGGAAGUGUUGGUUUGGAAAUGAGCUGUUCAGUUUUUCAUUCAUCUUACUAAACUGUAUGUUAAGAGAAAUAAAAGUGAAUCAUUUUGAAUUAGUGCUUUAAAAAAAAUUCUCCAGAUAAUCAGUGUUCAAGUGUUGAUUAAUAUACAGUAAAUCAUGAUUUUUCUAUUUUUCUAUAAGGGUACCAAGGCAUUACUAAUGAAUUCGUUUUUCUGGCUAACGGUAGAUUAACCAGAAAUCUUUUCUGUCUUUUUCUUGUUGAAUAUGCUUUUUAAAUGUGCUGGCCCCCUUUCCUACCCCGGAAAGAACAUUGGGAAUGUAAUUGAAUCUUUCUUUGAGGUUUGAGGAUCUUACAGUGCCACAGGGUCACUGUUCUGAGGAUGAAUUCUGAUUGUACAUUAUAGAACUGUGAAUGGAGACAGUGCCAGAGAUUGGACUAAAUCUGCCAUGAUGCCGGUGUGAAAAUUGUUUUCUUUUUCCAUUAAGUCCUCGAUAUCAGUAUGUUUUGUUAUUUGCCGUUUUGUUCUCUAACUUGCAAGGACCAAAACGAAAAUUCCCUUUAAUUAGUUAAUUCUGGUUAAUUGAGGUUUUUACUUUCUAGGAAAAUUGCACCCUGAAUCUAGAGCCCUAAUUCUUUCCCUACAGUUAUAGAGGAUGUAAAGUCAUUCUCAGAUAUUUAAGAAGACUGUUGUAUUUACAAAUAAGUUAUGUGAUAUAUUACCGUAGCAUUAUAUAACUUCUCUCCCGUGUAAUAAUGGUGGAUAGAAAUAUCAGCUAAUUUUGCCUCUUCCUUAGAUAUACUGAGGGGUAUCUAAUAAAUCUUAAAAGCUAGGAAAUUCUGGGUUGGAGAGAAGACUUUCAAGAAUAUCAAUAAAGAACAUUUAAAUUCCCCUAAAGGAGAUUCUCCUUUAAAGUUUGGGCCUUUGUUCACCGGGCCAGUAUGGAAAGCCUCCCCAGGACCAUGCCAUCAGAGGCGGACUUUCUCAGGGCCGCCCCACCUGACUUAAUGAUAGUCUGCGGUUAUCUUCUGGUAUCUUUGAUGUCUCAACAUUGCAGAUUCUUUUUAGGAGUCAUGGUGCUCUUCUGUGACAGCCCAAUUAUUAUUAUUUUGUUUUUGGAGUAAGGACAUCAAGGAGAUUGUCUAGAGAAGGCCUCGGAAGAGGGGGAGGGGGCACGAUGAGGAAUACGUGUGCCACAGCUCGUGGCUUGGCUUUUUGCUCCCACUUCUACAUGCUGAGGUUAAAAAGAAUUACAGGUAACAAUUCCCUUGUGUUGGUGGAAGAACUGUUUUGUUUUGUUUGCUUUCCUGACAGAUGUUUAUGGCCUCUGUUGACAUGUCACCAUUACAGACUGUCUUAUCACAUUAUGUGCCGUGGCACAUUGACAGUGGCUUGGGCCUGUGGCCUCCUGGUGAUUGUCUUGUGCGCAGAACCGAAGCGCUUGUGGCCAGCUGCAGAGCCCUCCGUGGUGGCCACCGCCAGUUGAGAGCGCAGGUUUCCCACUCCCUUGAAGGUGCUGGAGGUGCUGUUUUUCCUGAAGCUCAGUCAGAGGCUGGAACUGAGUAGGAAUGCUUGCGGGGUUUAGAAGCCUCAUGAUCUCCCAGCCUCGCAUCCUCUCUAGCAGUGUUAUUUGGGCAUUUGAGUUUUGAUUGUGAACUAUCUUAAAGUUUGUUUUUUUUUUCCUGAAAUAAUCCGGAAGUCCCUCCGUCCGUGAACAGACAGCGAUAGAUGAAACUCUUCUGGGGCACAAGGAAGGGUGCCACUUAGUACAGGAUCCUCAAGCCUGUGAAAGAGGCAGCGCCUUGUUAAAAAUACCUAGCUUACUUCGGGGGAGGAUUUGGCUGAAUACUGAUGAAGUUUAUGAAAUAUGAAUGUAGUGAAGUUGCUGUACGUAAGUGGUAGGCGUGUGUGAAAGAAGUAAGAAGAAAUAAAAUUGUGUAUAAAUGACACUCUGAAACUUGAUGGAAUUGUAUACGUGACAGGAAUGGUGACGUUUGGGUCUGUGCUUAAUGGGGGAAAGUAAACUGGCUUAAAAUCUAUAUGUCAAACUAGAUGUGGGACUAACAAUUAGAGAAUAUAAGAUUUUUGAACAUACUUUGUGAGCAAAGAAUGCUCCUGAGGAUAAACGGGGGGAAAAACUGAGGGACCAACACUUGAAUUUAUGAGGAGGUAUGGUAAUCACUGUUUUAAGUAAUCCAGACUAUUAACUGCCAUGCUGCUAGGUAGAGAAUUCGUUAGCCCAACAAAAGGCAUAAAUCGGAAUUUGAGGUUGUGUGGGAGAAAUCCUCUUGAUCCCCAAAGCAUAAAUGCAUGCACUGAGAAGAAAGCUGCACACGAUGUAAUUUUUUCUGUCUUAUCCUGAUUAAUUGACAGCCAACUGUAUGCCUCUUUCCUGAAGGUGACUUUACAAUCUCCAGACACAGACAUUUCUCUCCGAAGUGGAGUGAAGGAAGGAGAACCCACAAGCUAAAGGCAAUGAAAAGAGGAAAAGUUGACACUUUGAGAAGUUAUGACGAACUUGUCGAGAAUGCCAAUUGACAAAGGCAGGUAAGGGAAUACUUGGAAAAACAGAACAAGAACAGGUCUGAUGGGCAUGAUGAUCUUCUUCCUAGUGUGUUAAGGGAAUUGGCGGGCAUGUUUAUUGACUCUUCCAAUUAGUUUUAAAGAAAGCUGAAGAAAUGGACAAUGAUGGAGAAAAGCCAACCAGAUGUGAUUCUCCCCUUCCAGAAGCAGAGAGCUUAUCUCAUCCCAUGUGAUCGAUGCCGGUCCUGGGGAAGACUGACUGUGUAGAAGUGAAUGGAUUUCCAACAUACCAAUCACAGAAGAAACAAGGGUAUAUUUAGCAAGUCUAAAACCUCUUCGAUAAACUGCAUUGCUUUUCAUUUGCACCGUAAGGUCAUAAAGCCAGUGGAUGGUAAGAAGGCCGUGGUAACGACACAGCGUGUACUCCCAGGAAGUGUGUGGGAUGGGGAUGUUAUAUCUGAAAGGACAGGGCAUCUGGGAGGAUGAACUGCCCAUAACUCUCAAUUGUCCAGGUAAUGAAGCAUUGGAAAGCAAAGGCAAAUGAAAUACUUUGAUAAUCAAAAAUGAUGCUUCUUGUAGUGAUCCUAUUAGUUGACUGAUGAUGACAAGUGUGAAAUUGUGAGCUGUAUUUUUACCAUUUCUGGCACUCAUGGCCCAUUUCUGUUGAGUGCAUUUAUGCAGAAAGUGGGAACCCGGACAAUUUCCAUAGACCAGGCUGUUAACCCAGAAGAUGUAAAAUUUCACAGCGUGAAGGAUGAGGGUUGAAGAUUAGUGAGGGACUAAAAUUUCUUGAGGCCCUACAAAGAAUCCGUAGAAGAACUGGUAACUACACUGAUUGGCUCUGGGAAGUCCUAAAGCUCGUGUUCUAACCUUGAGCUGUGAGGGUGUGUGCUGGGUACGCGGUGCUCACUCAUGGUGUUGUCGCUGGUCAUGUUCUGUUAGCCCAAAGCCUGUUGGAGACAGAAGGGACCUUAUGAAUCAUGUACCCUGGCCCUCCUGGUUUAAACUGACGCUCACAGAGGUGUAAUAAUGUGCCCGAAGUUCCGUUCCUAGUAAAUAGCAAGGCUGUGAGAAGAGUACAGGUCUUCUGCUUCCACACCCAGUGUUCCUUCCACGUGGAUGCUGUGCCAGGAUGCUCAGAAAUUCCAGGAAUGUACAAAACCAAGCUCCUGCCCUCCUAGGAAAGCCCCCUGAGGAUAUUACAGUGUGUACACAAGUUAACCCAGCACGAGGUAGUUGACACGUAUGAAAGUCAGUGCGCGCCAUGUGGGUUCUACAGCAAUAAUAGAACAUUAUCAGUAAUUGUUAUUUUUUUUUUAAAUCCCACUAGGCAUUUUUAUUAUAUACAAAUGAGCUUGUGAACUUGUGGCUGUGUCCAAUAAGACCAUUCUAAAGCACAGUGACCUUGCUGCCUGUGGCUCCGUGCUCUGAUUCAGUACGAAGUAAAAUAGAGGCUAUGGAGGGGAAUAUCUUGUCGUUAGCGUCUGCGUGGGCGGUUAUGCUAGCUGGAGCUGGCCACAGGGGAGGCGUCUGUCAGCCGCUGCCCUCUUUCCUCGAGGCAGAGGAUUUAUACAGAUGCUCAGAAGCAAGUCUGCCAAUGGAAUGCUAUAUAGCCAGGAAAAAUCAUGUUGUAGUAGAAAAAUAGCUUUUGACGGGAAAAUGUCAGUCACUUAUUAGUGAAGAGUAGUAACUUUCAUAGUAGUAUACACAGAAUGUCAUCAUUUUUGUAAGGAAUUACCCUGUGUGUGUGUGUGUGUGUGUGUGUGUAUUAAUAUGGACCCAUCUACACCUUGAUAAUGAAAUGAUAAGAUGGUUAUUUCUGGAUUGAUUACCUCUGGUGUUAGUUUUUUUUUUUCUCUGUGCUCUUCUAUAUUUCUGACUUUGCUGUGUUACACAUGUAUUACUUUUGUAACUAGAAAAAAAUAAAUCUUACUUUUUUUUCUCAGAAAAAGAUUGUGUGUUGUGAAACUGGGGGUACUUUGAAGGAACUAAUUCUGAGCUUAGUAUGUUAUACAGAAUUUCUGGGUGUUUCAGGAUAGGCCAAGUUUACUGGCCCAAAGAGUAGUACCUUUGAUGGUCACAUUCAGCCAGGAACGUCAGGAAGACAAGGGUCGUUCAGCUUGAAUGUGAAAAAAAGUGUCAGAUAGUGGAAUUUCUUGCCCCUUUAGGACACUGUCUUUUAAGUAUUUAUACCAUGACCUCCAAGCCGAGAAACAUACUACAUUGUGAGCCAGUACAGACAACACACACACACACACACACACACACACACACACACACACACACACACGGCACAUGGGUGCAGUAAACUUUUCACAUAAAAUAUUUAUCCUUUACCUACGAUGUGCUGUUAUUUUUGCUCUAUUAUUUACAGGCAAGAUACAAAUCUCAAGCCACCAAAUUGGUUUCGUGAUCUGUUUAUGGGCUGCCUCUUACAGUUUUAAAAACCCUGUCCUGGGUAUGAACGGGUGGCCUGGCAGUAGGAGGGAGGGUGUGAGGGAUGGACUGUUUCCACAGUAACUGAUGUUGGACUCCAGGUGUUACUCAUGAUUUCAGGGAGGAGGUGGGGGAGGGAAAAUAAUGUAAAUACUCUUUAUUUGUAGUCAUAUGGUAUCUUUAUGCCACUUUUAGCACAUGUUCAUUAAUACCCUGUUACAUUUAAAAUUUUUAAAAAAAUUUUUUAGAUUUAUUUAUUUUUGAGAAAGAGUGAGACAAAGCGUGAGCAGGGGAGGGGCAGAGAGAGAAGGAGACACAGAAUCGGAAGCAGGCUCCAGGCUCUGAGCAAGCGGUCAGAACAGAGCCUGACACGGGGCUCGAACCCAUGAGCUGUGAGUUCAUGACCUGAGCUGAAGUCGGACACUCAAGUGACUGAGCCACCCAGGUGCCCCAAUACCCUGUUGCAUUUAGACAUGCAUCUGUCUAGACUGGCUUAGAAUGUAAAUUCUGGGAUCCCCUUUGCUCGGGUUUGUUGUCACUGUGUCAAGGCACGAGGGUGGCAUUCUUUGAUUCAGCAACUGUUUUCUGAGCCCCUUGCUUGUGCCAGGCACUGUGCUAGGCUCUGGAAGAAAGCAGCAAACCGGAGAGGUCAGAUCCCUGCCUUCUGGGAUUUUAUGUUCUGGUGGUGGCAUCUCUCAGUGAAGCCCGUGGUUUGGGUCACUUCUGAUGAUUCUCUGCUAUGAGUGUCUUAGACUUUGCCUUUUUCAGCCAGUUCCUCAUACGUGCUUUGACCCUUCCCCUCUUCUUCUUCCCAGCCCAGUCUCCCAUCUCACGUCCCAAUCUCUCUUGGCUUCUUGAAAGUCUGCAGUCAUUUUCAGAUAAGGCUGUGAGGUAAGACUCACCCUCUCCCUCCUGCAGUUCUCGUGACCCCUGCCUUCUACAGUAGUCAGUCAUGUGGGCCUUGCUCACGCAGUAAGCACGCAACCUCUUCCUUUGCCAGGUUCCUUUAUACUGUCUUACGGUGUGAAUUUCCUGGGUAGGUGUCUAGUCUGUCCAAGAAGACCAGCACCAUGGUUUAUUAUUUUACCCCUGCACAACGCUUUGCAACAGAGGAAGUGCUCAUUAACUGUGCAGCGAAUCCCUUUGACAUUGCCCUGCCAAACUGGUCACUUGUUCAGUAGAAUCACCUCUACAUUUCCCAACUCUGCCAGCGUAGCUUCUAUUUGCUUAUAUUUCCAGCUGGGCCUUGGGUUUGGACCCAGCUGCCCUUGUUUGUCCCAUUUCUUUCUCUCUUGGAUCCGCCAGUCCUCCCCUCAGUAGCAGGUUCAGGCCUGCUCCAGUCUUGAGCAACGCAGAUGAAGGAAGGUUGGACGUGUCGGGAAACAAGCGUGCAUGGUUGUUACAUGCUCCCUGCUGGGAGUGAGACAGACCUGGGCCAGAGGCCCGGGUGUGCUGGGUGCUGGCUGUGUGACUUUAGGUAAGUGAAUUCACUGCUCAGUCUGUUUCUUUUAUCACCUAAAAACUAGAGAUGUUUAUGAUGCUGGCUUCCCGAGGUGGUUGAGGAUCACCUGUGAUCAUGCGUGCGUGGCACCUGCCAGGAUGCCUGGUGCACAUCAAGUGUAACUCUAGUGAUGGUGGUGAUGAUGGGCACAUACAGAAACAGGGGGUCCACUUGCCCCCUCUCGCCUGUCUCCUCCUCAAGGUCUUCGGCUCCCUUUCCUUAGAGCAUUUCUCCCUGGUUCCGCGUGGUUGCUCUGUGAAACAAGCAAGAGCAUCUGAAGGCAUCUAAAGCCUUUUCCUCCUUUUCCUGACUGGAUCUGCCCCAGUCGCUCAGCUCAACUACCAUGGGCUGGAUUCUUGUGAGGACGAAUCACUUAAGCUCAACCCUGUGAGCCACUUGGGUUUCCGGAGCUUAUACCCCACACCUUCCAGUGAACCAGAAGAGGGCUAUGUUUGCCUGUCCCCUUCCCCCGUCCGUACUAUUUGUUCAGUCCUGCUGGCUGCCCCCUCCAGACAUUGAGGCUGUGGGAGCACCCUCCUUCCCACUAUGCUCCGGAGCUCUCUCCCGCCUCAUUUCUCAGCGACCCGUCAUCAUUCCUUGCCCUCCCUUCCCCUUUACUCACUUUCUCCUCCCUGCCAAAAAUCACGUUGGAGAAGCCUGUCUGCGAGGGUUCCAUUCAACUUGUUCUACAUUAAUGUUCCACUACGGUGACCCACUGCUGAGUCUUUCACUUGUAAUGUAAUCUAAUAAUUUACAUGCAUUUUGCAAGCAAUACUCUCAGAGACUCACAACCUGCUUGAAAUUGCUCUGCUGUUACAGCAGUUGAACUGAUGAGAGAGACGAGUGUGAGAAAGAGUAGUUAUGGGGACCACAAUGGUAUUGGGUAAACCCAGGAAAAUAAUAUUAGUGUAAGGUGAAGGUGUGCUGAUGGAUUAUAAUAUCCUUUCUUAGAGAAUCAAUUAAACUCGCUGAGGGUCUGGUAUUGAUUUUGACUUAUAAUUGGACUAGGAUCGGUCAAAGUAUAGCCGGUAGAAGCAUUAGCAGGGAACAGGAAGAGGACCAAGAGUGGAAGCCUGUCUUUCUCGGAGGCUGUGAAAAUGUUUUUGUUUGGAUACACUACGUGACUUUUACAGAAUUAAUUGACACUCUGAUUAGGUUGUUUUAUUUCUUUACUCGAAGAUGUUGGAAGCCAGUUCUCAUAUGCGGUAGUAAUGAAAAUAGAGUAAUGCUGUAGUAAUGAUGCCGUUGUAAAGUGAAUUACACUAUUAAUUAAGCAUCUAUUUGGUCUCAUUUGUAUUGUGCUAGUGUGGGUGAUACACAUACACAGACGUAGAGUAGCUGGUUUUUAAGAGACAAACUGUAGCUGAGAAGCCCCGAUCCUAUAAUAAUGAACAGUCAGUGAAAAUAAGCCAUUGUUCAGUGAAAAAGUUUUUAUGUAUUUAUAAUGUAUGUAUAAUAUACUUACGUGUCUAUAUAAAAUACACAUAUUUUGUGUAUGUACGUAUUUACACACACAUGCACAUGCAUCCAUAUACACAUAUACACGGGCACAUGCAUAUGUUAUGACUGUCAGGGUGAUCAAGAAAAUAUAGGGUGACUGUGGCCUAGAAAUGUUUGCCUUCUGUUGCCUUUUAACAAGUUGGCUAGCUUGCAUGGGGAGAGGUGUCUGUUAUGGCAGGCCAAGUCAAUAAUGGUAUCAAAGACAGGGUUUGAAAACAAAGCUUUGUGUAUUUUUUGCAACCAUUUGGUUCUUAUUAUGGUGUCUGAGAAUCUCUAUUUAUUGAUAUUUCUCAGGUGGGGGAAGAAACAUUAAGGCCCAGGAACUAGGGUCAUUUUAUUUUCUGUCAUUGAUCUCCCAAGGAAGGGCAUUGGCCAAAGAACUUCCUCCACGGCAGAAAGGUAGAGGCAUAUUUUUAUGCCUUAAGUCAUAAGCCAACCCUAGAGCAGAAACAGGAUCUGGGAAGGCAGCAUCCAGUGUGGUUGCUCCCAGUGGGACAUGGAAAUUAGAAAGUCCACAAAUCUAUCACAUUUGCCAUAGAUCCAGUAACUUUAGCCCUUCACUCCUGGGAGCACUGGCGUGGGUGGGGUCGUUUGGCAUUGUGUGUGAGUUUCUAACUAAGAGGGUGGUAUUUCCAGUGAGGUGCUGAAGACUUCCCUCGGGCGUCUCUAGCCUGGAUUGCUCUGGUUUUGUGCAAUAGCCAUCUGGAAGAGAUCUUCCUGCAGUGGCCAUCUAGAAGGCAUUUUAUUGUAGUCUCCAUCUCUCCCCUCCACUUGCUUCAGAAUUUUGCUUUGCAGCAUUGUCAAUACCACCACUUGGUAAUCUGUAACCUCAGAAAGACCUCAUCCAGAGAGGUGAGAUUAUAUGUAGCUUAGAAUAUAUUUAACUUUAAUGUAUAUAACACUUGCUCUGAUGACCAAAAUGUUGAAAGCAAAUUUGCUGCAUAAACAACGGUGUGCUCACUGCGUCACAGAUCAACAAUGUUGAUUGUAGUCUCUGAGUAUUUGAGGAGAGAGGACACAGCAUCAGUGCCUGGAGGGUGGAUUAAGAAUAUAUUUAGUGGAGGGGCGCCUGGGUGGCUCAGUCGGUUAAGCAUCCGACUUCGGCUCAGGUCAUGAUCUCACAGUUUGUGGUUCAAGCCCCAAAUCGGGCUCUGACAGCUCGCAGCCUGAAGCCUGUUUCAGAUUCUUUGUCUCCCUCUCUCUCUGCACCUCCCCUGCUCAUGCUCUGUCUCUCUCUGUCUCAAAAGUAAAUAAAAACAUUAAAAAAAAAAGAAUAUAUUUAGUGGAGAGAUUUUAUUGCAAACCUCAAUGAAAAAAAUAUCAAUAUCAUAUUGUGCCUAAUAAAAUGUUAUAAUGAAAAUUGCCGUGAUGUUUGACAACAUCCCUUUAUUAAUUAGUCUUUUUCAUUAUUAUUUCUUAGUAGCAAAUACACUCUGGUUUUAUCGCUCAUUAGUUAUAGUCCUUAUCGAAUUCAUGUUUUGCUAAUUCGACGUGUUUAUCUCCACAUUGGUCUCCGAGACGUUCCUUGAGGGCAGUGUUGUAGACUGUCUUGAAUCUUCGGUCCCCUAUCUCUGUUACUUGGACAUUCAGUGAAUGCCUUUAGGAAGCCAGUGACCGGGCAGUUUAGAAUCAAUAUGUGUAAGAUGAGCCAGCAGAGGGAAGACUAGGAUGAGACAAAAAAAUCUAAUAUUCUUCGAAAGCCUCAGAUGUUUAAAUGUGAUGCAAUAUAUUGCCUCCUUUCAUUCAUUCAUCAACUAUUUAUUGAACAUUUGCUAUGUGCCAAGUCACAUGUUGGUCGGUGGAGGUACAAGUUGAGUUAAAGGGAAGUGAUAGGCAGGAAAGACCCAGUAAUUUCAAAAAAAACGUGGAGAGUGCUAUAACAGAGAUACUUACAAAAUAUAUAGCAUACAGAAGAGGGAGGAAACUCUUCAUGAGGAGUUAGGGAAAGCUCACAGGUAGGUAGCUUUGCCUGGUUUUAGGGAAAAUGGGGAGAGAUUUACCAAGGAGGCAAAAAGGCCAAGGUACAGGAGAUCAGAGUUCAUGGCGCAUUCAGGGAGGGUGAAUGAGGUGUAGCUCGGCAUGAAGUAUGUUGGCAAGGACGAGGGGAUGAAGCUGGACGAAGUGGGCAGGGGCCAGGUAAGCCUUUUGGACAUUUUGCUAUGCAAAAUUUUGAGCAAGUGACAAAUACGAGCUUUCUUUUUCAUAAGAUCCCGUAAACACAAGUGUGUUUGAAGUUGGGAUGGAAAAUCGACAGUGUCGAUAAGGAGCCAAGCUAGGACAUCUCUGUGUCGGCUGUGCAGAGACAUACUGCAGGCCAGGACUCGGAUGGAGGCGGGCUGGGCUGUGAGGUAGCAUUUCUCGGGAGGUAGAAUGGAAGGCUCACGAGGGAGGUAGUGUCAGGAGUCAGUACCUGAGCUGGGUGGAAUUACUGGCUGGGACAGUCUGGGGUGGGAUGUGAAAGGGGGGAAGGCCUGGGUUCCCAGGCUUAGUUGGAGGUCCUGGGGAAGUGUCUGAUGGGCAACUGGAAAUCUGGGGCUGGCAGGGAGAGUGUUAGUCGGGGAAUCGGGAGAAACAGUUUUUAACAAGGGCCUGGAGCUUAGGAGGGACAGCUGGGCUGGAGGCGUUCUGGAGCAGUGUUUUUAACAGGGGAUUGGAAGGUGAAAUUUUUAUACCAGGACAUGUGUACAUGUUUACAUCAAGAGAAGAUAAGCCCAAGGUCCAAGUGGGUGUGGUUGCGAAACUAAAAGGGAUGGAUUGUUGCAGUGACAGAGAAAAGUGUCUCAGAAGACUGGCUUUAGACUUGGCAAUUUUACAUUUACUGAAGCCAUUACAAAAAACAAACAAACCAAGAAUGUCUUUAAAGUCAGAGUGAGGCUCUGAUACGUGUUGCUGCUGCUGGUUGUAUUUGAGUUUUAUCUGCUUUGAUGGUGGUCUCCUUCCCAUCAUGUCUAAUUGAUGACUAUAGACUUGUUGCUCUACUCUCCCGCCCCCCCCCCCCCUUUUCUUAACUUUCUACACAGCUCAGCAUUGAUUUAUCCUGUCUCUAAAGGGAAUCUGCCUCACACUUGGCAGAACCUCAAGGUUGGGAGAAAUGGAAUGAAUAGUAGCCGUGGAGAGGUCUCCACAUUGCCCUGGGAGAAAGGCUUCGUGGGAGAGAGAGUUGAAAGAGGGUCUUGAGAAAGGGUGUGAGAUCUUCAAAGGAUGGGGUCUGGCCAUGGGAAACUAAAUGGGAGACUUUUUUCUUUGUAGUUGAGAGAGAAACAGAAGGGCACAAGUGUUUGUUGGCAUUGAUUAUGAGUGUGGUGGAAUUGGCGCUCUGUGUUUCUGACACGUAACUGUUUUCAGGGGGCGUCCACGUAUGCGGUAGCCUCUGGAGGUCCUGGAAAGGAGUUGAUAGUGUCACAGCUCACGGAGGGACCAGAGAGGUGUUGUGUCAUUAGGGAGACCUGUUGACUUAAAACAAGUGGGAUACUGAUAGGCCAAACUUAUCUCGGACUCCAAUGAGCGUGACAGGAGGGGCUUUGCCUGUCGGAAGGGCCGUUCCUUUGCCUUCUGAGGCAGAUAGCAGAGCUCCCCAUUGUUUUCAGUGAGCUCUGGCUAAAUACUUUCCCUGUAGAUAUUCCACUAAUAUAUCCUAUGAAUUAUUUGUGUUAUCUCUGCGCUGUGAAAUUAGAGGCCUUCACCCACAGUGUGGUAAGCAGAUUAAAACGAAAGCCUGUUUUUUAUGGUAUGGGGGAAACCGGGCAAAUAAUCAGGGAACCAUUUUUUGUGUGUUUGAUCUGACAGUGGGGAGGCCUUGGGAUGCCAGUGUCUUCUAAAAUCUGAAAGCUGAGCUCCGGCUGGAGUUUUCUUCAAAGAGGUUUAUAUUUUAUCCGUUGGCACUUCUGAGGGGGAAGGAAGGUUUGGAGUGGGUGAUUCUGCGAUGAUUCUUUUCUCGCUGCUGUUUUUCUUCUCCGUCUUUUUAACUUUGCAGAAAGCCCUUCCAGUUCUACGGUCAGACCCCAUUCAGGACGUUGGUGGCCAAACAGUCCCCUUUUGUUAAGCGAGCGUCCUAUUUUUGUUUCUCUUGAAAGGUGCCCUUCAGGACAGCAGAGUCUUUAUUUGGGCUGUUUAGAAUCAAGCCCUGAAGAAACCUAGUUAGAAAUUGUUCUAAACCCAGGCCAAGUGCCUCCUUUGCUAGCGAGGCAAAGCUAAACCCACAAGAUGAAAUCUAACCAGCUGGUUACCUGAGAACCACCGUGGGGAGUUCUCCAGCUUGACUUCUCUUGCUCUGGCCGCCAUCCCAAGAGUGAACGCUGAGGGUCAUGGCCUUUCUGUGCAGAGAUGCAGAAAGAGAGUUCUGGCUCUUGGUGAAGAGGCGUAGGUUGGUUUAUGUUUUAAAGGGUCCUGUGUCAGCUCGCAAAAACGUGGAGGAUUAACGUGUAUUCAAUUAAUCGAUUUCACUUGCCUUUUUUCAAAGAAAAAGGUUAUCGAUGGCUUUAGCCUACCACAGAUAGGUCCAGGACUCCCACUUCUGCCCUUUUCUUCCACAAAUUAGGUAAACUGAGUCCUUUGAGAGCACUGGGGCAUGUGUAGGAUUUGAUAAUUUGGAGGUUAUGCAUAUGAGGUUAUUUUAUUUUCUUCUGUUAUAAUAGAUAUGGGCCCAACAUCUGUGAUUUGAAACAGAAUCUUCGUUCCUUCCCCCAAACCAAAGAUCCUCUGGUUGAGGGCUCAGACGGGCCUCAUUGCACAAGUACUGCCUUCACUUUGUGGAGUUUUUCUGCCCACUUGAGAGAUCACCUGGGUCAUUCAGGUGGCCUGGGGAAGAGUGUUGGUCUUUGUUAGAGAAAGAAAGAAAGACUGGCUGGACAAGUUAGAUCCCUAGGGGCAGUUUGGAGCCUCUCGAGCAUGAGGUCAUCGGUAUAUUUAAAUUCUCAGCUUCCACACACACUGGUCAGCGACGCUCCACCCCCUCCUCGCUCACUGCAUAUUUUCUCUUGUGUUUCCAGAGGAGAUCUCUGCCUCUUGGGGAUCCCCCAGCCUCCUGGGAGCAACCAUGCCACUGGUCCCUGUGUACACAGACAACUAAAAAGUGAAGUGGUUUGGAGAUAGGCGUCAUUUUAAGGCUAAAGUCAUACAUUUUAGAAAGUUGAGGGCUGGUUCUGUGACAGGGAAGUUGAGCUAAAUAUGCAGUUCUAUUUUAAUUUUCACUUUAUGCCAAGGCAAAAGCAUUGGGAGAUAGGCUAUAAAUGUAUAAGUAAGUCACUGCAAGAAUAGCCCUUGCAAAAUGCAGAUUUAGGAAGGCUAAAUAUUUUCUCACAUACUUUAAUGCACACGAAUAACUAACCCCUGAUCCAGUUCCUGAGAAAGGGAUGUUGUAUAACCACUUAACCUUGAUCGCUGUCGUGAAUCGUACAGAAGUCUGCUUAGCUGUGUUGUAAGUAUUUGGUUGUCUUCACUCCAGCCACAAAAACAAAAUACCAGAGACUGGGUACAUUAAACUACAGAACUUCAUUUUCUCGUGGUUCUGGACAUUGGGUUGUUCCAGACCCAGGUCCUGGCAGAUCUGCUGAUUAUUGGUGAGGGCCCUCUUCCGGCUUGCAGGCAGCUGGCUUCUUAUGAUAUCCUCACAUGGAGGAGAGGGAAAGUUCUGGUGUCUCUUCCUCUCCUUAUGAGGGCACUAAUCCCAUCAUGGGGACCCCAACCUCCUGACCUCAUUUCAAUCUAAAUUACUUUCCAAAGACCUCACUUCCUAAUAGCACCACACUGGGGGCUAAGGGCUUCAAUGUAUGAAUUUGGAGGAAACACAUACGCGUAAUCCAUAACACCGGUUGAGGCUUAAAGCCUGCUAAAAAUUUUCAGGGCGGUCGAUUUGUCUCCAAAAAGUUGUUGCACGUUCUUAACGUGUUCAUUUGUUUGUUUAAACAGAGUCCUAUUUUUCUAUGUAUGUUUUAUCUUCGGCAUGGCCGUGUCUCAUCAUAUUCCGGUACUGUUUGAAAGCUGCAGUAGUAAAGCCCAAGGUAAUUAAGGCUGUGGUAUCAUUGUUUUAAAUUAGCAUGUGUGAUUUUUUUUUUUUUUUUGUAAUUCAACAAGUUCCUUCAUAUUCUGCAUAAUUGGAUCACAUUUUAAUUUUGUGGCAAAUAAAGAUCUAUUUUACAUUUCUAUUAGAAAGACAAGCCCCUGUGGCUAGGUCUGAAUUAGGAUACUUGCUGUUGGUUGUACUGAAGGAGCAAGACUUUCAGAGUUCAUUCAGCUUCUAAAAAACUCACCUGUGAAUCUUUUGGGUCAGGAAAGAAUCUUUGAUUUAAAGGUAUACACAGGCAUAGAGUUCAUGUGAAAGAAAAUAUCGAAACAACAAGAAAAUGAAAUAUAUAAGCACUCACUGCAAGCAAAGAAUAACAAAAUCAUGGAGUAUCCAGUAUAUGGUAUAGACUCCAAGAGCAUAUCAGUCUUUGACUCUGGCAUAUCUGUUUGUGAAUACAUUUUGUUAUUUGCAUGGUUAAUGCCCUGGGAGUUUGCAUGGAGCAAAAUAACGAAGAUAUCAAACCAGAGAGUGCACCAGACACAUAAUUGAGAGGCCUAGGUUCUGAUCCCAUCACCGCCAUUAAUUACAUAAGUGGCUUCGAGCAACUAGUUGUCCCCCAACCCCCACCCAUUGCCUCACCUUCUUCAGGUGUGCUCCACGUGUAGCUCAGGGAUGCACUGAAUUACAAGUUCCUGCCAUUUCUGUCAUUCUAUGACCUCGUGACGAAGACCCAGCUUUUUUUUUAAUAGGUUUUUUUUUUUAAUGUUUAUUUAUUUUUAAAAGAGAGAGACCAACUUGAGCGGGGGAGGGGCAGAGAGACACAGAAUCCGAAGCAGGCUCCAGGCUGAGAGCUGUUCAGCACAGAGCCUGGCGCAGGGCUCGAACUCAUAGACCACAAGAUCAUGACCUGAGCUGAAGUCAGACGCUUACCCGACUGAGCCACCCAGGCGCCCCCAAAGACCCAGCUUUUUUGAGGGUCCAGCAGAGAAUACACUUUUCUUAUUGUCUUUACCUUAAAGUUGAAGCAUAAUUUACAUCUCAUAAAACCACCCUUCUUAAUUGUACAAUUCAAUGAUUUUUAGUAAAUUUAUAGAGUUGUACCACUACCUGCAUAAUCUAGUUGUAAAACAUUUCUGUCUCCCCCGGAAGAGCCCUCAUGCCCAUUUGCUUUUAUUACCCCUUCCUACUCCCAAGCUGAGACAGCCAUUAAUCUACUUUCUAUCUCUACAGAUUUGCCUUUCCUGGAAUUUAUUUAAAUAAAUCAUAUAAUGUGUGGUCUUUUGUGUCUGUCUUCUUUCACUUAGCAUCAUGUUUUUGAGGUUCAUCGAUGUUAUGGCAGGUGUCGGUACCUCGGUCCUUUUUUAGAGCUGUGUACUAUUCUGUUGUAUGGAUAGACUUCAUUUUGUUUCUGCAGUCAUCCUUUGAUGGGCUCCUUUUUCUUUCUCUCAUUUUUUUUCCUGUGUGGGCACUUCUCACUGUAGCCUGCUCCAAAUGAGGAAAGGAUGCAUCUCUUUAAGAGAAAUGCUAAUUCUUUAUCUCCUGGCUUCCUUCGUGGAGGAGGCUAGAGUUUUGUGUUUUAAACUCUUUGAAAGCUCCCAAGUGGCCUGAGCUCAAUGAACAUGUGAUGAAGCAGUAUAUAGUAUCCAUCAGUAAAUGUGAAAGUACUUUCAUUCUUUUCUGUGCAUUCUUUUCUGUGAUGUAGACCUAACAUAAAUAUGAGGUUUCCUCAUUAGGAAAUGUGACUCAAAACCUUUCCCAAUGAUAGCCUGCUUGUUGUUUUAUAUUUGUUUUACACAUUGGGUAAUGAAAUACUUGAAAGCAAGAGUUAAAGACACUGGCUGUUACCCUGACUUAGUAAUGUCACUUUUAGCAUUUUCCUCUGGAAGUCAUCAGAGUUAUUAUGAGCAACAACAAAUCCAGAGAGGGAAAUACUUGCAGAGAAAUUUGUGCCUUGCUUUUCAGCUGUGAAUCAAAAAGACUACUAAAUAUAAUUGCAAAGAAAAGGUAGGUAGAAGGAGAAGGGGACUAAUUUAAAUGUUCAGGCUACUGACUUUUUUUUUUUAAUUUUUAAAAAUGCAUUUAUUUUUGAGACACAGAGAGGCAGAGUGCAAGUGGGGGAGGGAGGGGGGGGGGAGAGGGAGACACAGAAUCCAAAACAGGCUCCAGGCUCCAGUCUCUGAGCUGUCAGCACAGAACCCGAAGGGGGCCUCAAACCUAGGAACCGUGAGAUCAUGACCUGAGCGAAAGUCGGCCAGCUGAGCCACCCAGCGCUCCCAGGCUAUUGACUUCUUAAAAGAGAUGCCAUACACGAGAGGACUCUAGUGAUUUCUAUGCUCGGUGUUGGUUUUGUUCUGUGGGUGAAGAUGGGCGUGCAUUUCCAGUCGGUAAGCUCCUAGCUAAUGGAGGGUAGUAACCUGGCAUCCCAGAUGCUCCUCAAAUUGUUCUCCAGUUUAGAGUUUACUCUGAAAAUGUGGUUGAUCUGCAGUAUGUUUCCAUCUUCGGCUGCUCCCAGGUCCAUUCAAUUUCCUGGAAUCCAUCCUUGGCUAGUGCCUUAUGUAGAAUGAGGGAGAAAGGCUGCUCCAUUUGCUUCCUCCUCUCCAUACGGUAGACGUGUUUUGUCGCCAUGCUGUGCUCUGCAUUUCAGAAAGGUUGGAAUCACAGGUGAUGUGUGUGUGCACAUGUGUGUGCAUGCAUGAAGAUGUAUAUAUAUGUCUACACAUACACAUUUGUGUAUAUUCACAUACAACAUAUCCUUCCAGCUGAUUAAUAGGGCUUGACUUAUGAGAACCAGCAACUUGACUUAGUUUUAUUUAGCACUCAAAUUACGAAUAGCAUCAGCAAUAUCUUUUGGAAUUUAGGUUAGAUUGUUUACUCUUCCCAGUGAUGGAAAUGAUGUUGAGAGCAUCAUACCCUGCCUCUUGGGUCCUGGGAAGGCUUUGCCUUGGUUGAAUCCGUAUGUAGGGUGUUCUUUUUUUUUUUUUUUUUUUUAAGUUUCAUUUUAUUUAUUUUGGGGCGGAAAGGGCAAAGGGAGAGGGGGAGAGAGAAUCCCAGGCAGGCUCUGCACUGUCACCACAGAGCCUGAUGUGGGGCUCCAUCCUGUGAACAGUGAGGUCAUGACCUGAGCCAAAAUCAAGAGCCGGAUGCCUAACUGACUGAGCCACCCAAGCGCCCCAUAUGGUAGGUUGUUGUACAGAAAGAUAAACUAGGGCAUUCUGUAGUCAACGCCAGACCCUCCUUUGUACAGAGCCUGAGAUAAGGUAGCUGUGGGCAGAGAGGGCCGCCCAAGGCUCUGUGCCUCUAGGCCUUCCGGAAGAUGAGCAGGCUGCAUCCAGUCAUGACCACGUUUUUAUCCUUCUCUCCUACAGCUUUAAAGAGGGAAAAAUUUUCCUUCUCUCAGUAAGGAGGAAACCAGUUGGGAAAAAAGUGUCCCCGUCUCUUACUUUUUUUGGUGGUGCAGUGGGGGAGAGAAGACCGGUGCACUUUUUUUUACUUGGAACUGUGUUACUGUAUCAUCAUGUUGAUCAUUACUAGGUUAUUUACGUAUGAGUCUAACUUGUGAGAUCCUUGGGGAUCGGGAUGCGGUGGAAUACUUUUAUGUUUUUCGGGAAACUCAACACAGUGGUUUGCAUACAACAAGCACUCCACUAUAGUUUUGUGAGUCAGGAUGAUGAAUAAAUACUUUCGACCCAGCAAACUGUGUUUGUGAGUAUGUUAGUAUUCACAAUGCCCCCUGGCACUGUUGCUGGGCACCAAAGAGAGAAAUCAAAGACGGAAUCUCUGGCUCUUUCCCUCUCUACCUCCUCAGCACCACCUUCCUUCCUUGUAUAACCACGUAUCCGGUUCCUGUGCUUGCCAGGCACUGUGCUGGGGGCUGAGGUUAACAAAAUAAGAAUAAAAUACUAUGUGUGUCUUGUAUGAGUUUGCAAGAACACGUAUCCUGGAACGGGAGAUGUGAUUUGAUAGGCGUUCACAAUAGUUAGAAGCUCCUACUUAUUGAACCCUUGUUCCAGGUCCGAGGCGCACUAGCUCAUCCUUAAAAGUCUCUUGCAUCCCUAGGAGAUAAGAAUUAAGACCCCCAUGUUGCAGAUGAGAAGACUGAGGCCUAGAAGAGUGGGUUAGGGUCCAGAAUGUCCAUACCACACUGACCAGUGCAGCCCCCUCCCUCCCCCUAAUGGUGAUAAAUGUGUCUACCUAACAGCCCCAGUGCCCUGGGGUCCUUUCCCAUCUCUGUUUAUGCUCUUCUCCAUCUGCCGAGGCAGGAAGUUUUAGUCUAGGCAAAGGCAGCUCCUUGGAGUUGUUCAGCCAAGUCAGCUGACCACAGCCACCCCUGGAGAUUGCUUUUUUUUUUUUUCUUUUCUAACUUUCUCUUGCCCUCUGCCUGUUCCUGUGGCAGCUCCUUUAUCCUUCCGGUUGCAGGUUUUCCUUUUAUUCCUUAGGUAUCCUGUUGCCCUUUCUGGGCCUGAGAUGGUCAUGCCAGAGAACUCCUUGAGAUUUAGCUGUCUUCCUUGCCGUCUUAGCUGACUUCCGGCUGGCUAGACAAAGUGAAACUCCGAUCUUGCUGGAGGAGCUCCUGCGUGCAAUCCUGACAAGUAACUUUAACCAAUUGUUGAAAGCAACCUGUGCUUGCCGCUUCGCAGAUGUGUGUGCCAUGGAUGAUGAAUACGAGAGAUGCAGAUUUUACCACACAUCAGAGCACGUGAACACAAGGUCGACACAUCCUCAGGGCCUCCCCACCUCGUCCAGUGCUUUGCAGCCCUGACAGGAACUGCCAGCAGAGAAGUUGCUGAACUUGGCAUUGGCUGGGGCAUGGUUUUAUUAAGCCAGACUCUUGUGGGCUUGUUGCCCCUUUCAGGAGAUUGUCCCCACAAGGAGAGUCAUAAUUAUUACCAUGGACCCUUGUCUGGUUCAUUGUUUUUUUGCAAGAAAGAGGGAAACUCAAACUUCAUGCAAGUUAGGAAGCCUUGCCUGGGCCCACAUGUGACACGUUGAUAUUUUGGGGCAGGGUUUGGCCCAGUGUAGGGCAAACAACAUGAGAACAGCCAUGGUGCCGACCAGCACAUUGAAGUUUUUAGAUUGAAAAGCCUGAACAGAAUGUUCAGCUGGAGCUGGGGACAUAUUCCUUUCCUAUUUUAUCUCUGCCAUAAGCCUUGGGGCUGAUUGGAAAACACACCCACUGCAGGAUUUGGAUAGCCAGGAUUUUAUGUUUAUUUCUUAGACCUGCUCACGCAUAGUCUCUCUCCCUCCCUCCCUCCCUCCCUCCCUCCCUCCUCGGUUCCUCCUCCUCCUUUCUCCCUCUCUCUGCUUCUGCCCCUCCUUUCCUCCUUCCUCCCUCCCCACCUCCCUUCCUCUCUCUCCAGCUCUUUUGGGUAGAAAUCUGAAAGCUGCUCAUCAUAUUACUGGUGAGCAAGUAUUCGUUCUCUUUAUAGAACAGUGCUAACUUCUCUGACAUUGACACUAGGGCCCAAGUGAUUUUUGCAAAUGCAAAUCUAAUAUAUCCCUUCCUUGCUUAAACCCUUCGUUGAAUUCCCAUCACUCUUACAGUAAAACCAAACCCUUUAACACAGCCUAAAUUGGCUCCUGUCUAGCUUUGCAGCCUCAUCUUUCACUUGUCCUCCCCACAGUAGUUACCUGCAUACUCUGUUCUCCAGCAGUACUGAAUUGUGCUGCUCAAACAUGCUGUGCCUUCUCCCCGCCUCCACCUGCUUUCCCUUUCACCUGUGUUCUAGCUACUUCAUUCACUUAUUCAUUCAUUCAUUCAGUCAGUCAGUCAGCACUGAUAGAGCACCUCCUGGAGUCAGCUACUGCUCUGAAUCCUAGGGAUACAGUUGUGCACAGACAGACAAGCCCCUGUUGUCCCAGGGAGUUUACAGUCCUUACUUGCUAAUCCUGUUCAUCUGACAGAUCUCAGCUCGGAUUUUCUUCUUCCUGGAAGCUUUCCCUGACCUCUCGCCUCUGGGUUCGACACCUUUCCUUUGCCUUCUGGAGCCUCUGUAUUUCGGCCGUCACAAUACUUACAACUUA